GUCAGAUCUAGCCGGCCUUAUCCCGCAUCGGAAGCAUUUUAGGAAGGGUCUUUAUCACCCACUGCGCUCCCGGCAGCCUCCGUGCCGUUUCAUCUACGACUAAUGCGUUUUCUCCGCGAGAAGGAUUUGUGUGUGAAUAUCCACUAUCAUUUCUCUUGGAUAAAUGCCUAGCAGUGGAAUUGCUGAGUCAUACACUGAGAGUAGUGAGAGAAUACAGAGCAGACAAGAAAAAACAGCAGAUGCUUGUUGUUAAGAAUCUGACUGACCUGAACUUACUCUUGCAAUGGCCAGUGAAGAUCGCCAGGUUUUCGGGACAAAGCCAGGAACUGGAGAAGCCUCCAGGAUGGAGCUGGGACCUUGGGGGAAGGUCAGCAGGUUGAAAACACAGAUGUGGAAUUAAGAGGAAGGAAAGAGGAAGUGAGGCCAGAGAGGAAAAGACUGCAAGACUCAUCCCAGACAGACUGUAAGCCAGUGCUUUUCAGCAGGGGGCAAUUUUGCCCUACCUUCAUUUGACAGUGGGUGACCUUCAGCCGUUUCUGGAGUCGUGUUUGGUUACUAGAACUUGGGGUUAGGUGAUGCUGGUGUCUAGUGGGUAACGCCAGGAGUGCUGCUAACCAUUCUGUGGCAUACAGAACAGCCCCAACAACACACUCAUCUAGCUCAAAACAUUAGUAGUGCUGUGACUGAGAAACCUGCUCGAAACCAAUUGAGAAGGGACUCGACGGGAGGGCUAACAUUCUCAGCCCCCUCUGCACGUGUGUGUGUGAUCAGCUAAUAGCUUUCUUUCUAGCGAUUGUGCUGUUCCUACAAGCCCU
This 815-nucleotide long non-coding RNA is filed under the name Equus asinus (donkey). RNAcentral's name for it is "lncRNA (ENSEASG00005030184.1)". Lineage: Eukaryota; Metazoa; Chordata; Mammalia; Perissodactyla; Equidae. The record is from RNAcentral.